This is a long non-coding RNA of Oncorhynchus tshawytscha (Chinook salmon), 876 nucleotides long. The record is from Ensembl. NCBI's taxonomy places the organism in Eukaryota, Metazoa, Chordata, Actinopteri, Salmoniformes, Salmonidae.
AAGGAUUUGCCAGUAGAUUGUCAACUUGAUUCAUGAUGAUGACUGCUAGCUAAGAUUUUGAAAGUUUGAUGUUGACAUGAUCAGUCAAAGCAAAGCUACUGUAGAUAUAACGUGAUUUGACUUUUUAUCUGUGGACAAUGACUUGGAGCCUUCUUGGAUGGGCAGUUCCAAUGUAACUCUUUGGCAGCACCCAAGGUACUUGAAUUUGUUUGCUCUCCCUGUAGAUUUUGCGGUGACGUAGUUUCCCCUUGAGUGACAGAACACUGAGCCAAUCACGGUGCAACUAGAGAACAUUACUAACCCCUAUGCUCCAUAUUUUCCACUGGCUGCCCCACCGCCACAGAAAGCACUGAGCAAGCCUGAAACACCUGCAUUUUGGAGCUGCCUUCCUCAAGAAAUCAAGAGACCAUGUUUAGGACUUCAAUGCUGUCCUCAGUCCACCUGGUCGUGCUGCUGCUCCAGUUUCAACUGUUCUGCCUGCGGCUAUGGAACCCAGACCUGUUCACCGGAAAUGCUACUUUGUCCUGCUGUUUUCAUCUCUCUCUCUCUCUCUCUCUCUCUCUACCGCACCUGCUGUCUCUAACUCUGAAUGCUCGGCUAUGAAAAGGCAACUGACAUUUACUCCUGAGUUGCUGACCUGUUGCACCCUCUAGAACCACUGUGAUUAUUAUUAUUUGACAAUUUGAACAUGUUCUGUUAUAAUCUCCACCCGGCACAGCCAGAAGAGGACUGGCCACCCAUCAGAGCCUGGUUCCUAGUCGCCGUGCUUCUACAUCUGCAUUGCUUGCUGUUUGGGGUUUUAGGCUGGGUUUCUGUAUAGCACUUUGUGACAUCGGCUGAUGUAAAAAGGACUUUAUAAAUAAAUGUGAUUGAUUG